Molecule: transfer RNA, 72 nt
Filed under: Camelus bactrianus (Bactrian camel)
Lineage: Eukaryota; Metazoa; Chordata; Mammalia; Artiodactyla; Camelidae
Also listed under: 2 other names
Rfam family: tRNA
About the family: Transfer RNA (tRNA) molecules are approximately 80 nucleotides in length. Their secondary structure includes four short double-helical elements and three loops (D, anti-codon, and T loops). Further hydrogen bonds mediate the characteristic L-shaped molecular structure. tRNAs have two regions of fundamental functional importance: the anti-codon, which is responsible for specific mRNA codon recognition, and the 3' end, to which the tRNAs corresponding amino acid is attached (by aminoacyl-tRNA synthetases). tRNAs cope with the degeneracy of the genetic code in two manners: having more than one tRNA (with a specific anti-codon) for a particular amino acid; and 'wobble' base-pairing, i.e. permitting non-standard base-pairing at the 3rd anti-codon position.
Source: Rfam by way of RNAcentral
AGGGUAAUAGCUCAAUGGUAGGGCCCUUGCUUAGCAUGCACGAGGUCCUGGGUUCAAUCCCCAGUACCACUG